Dendroctonus ponderosae (mountain pine beetle) is the source of this 1912-nucleotide long non-coding RNA. RefSeq lists it as uncharacterized. Lineage: Eukaryota; Metazoa; Arthropoda; Insecta; Coleoptera; Curculionidae. The transcript is spliced from 3 exons. The record is from RefSeq and is a predicted model, not a curated record.
ACAAUUUGGCACUGACUCUCUUUAUAAUGACAAAUAACGUCAGUGGGAUUGUUUUUGGGCAUAUUUAUACGUACAUAUGUGUUUUGAGUUGCCCGAAAUAUAUCUAGUUUUCAUAGUCAGGUUUGAACAGACGAGGUACGAGUGAAAGUAAUCGCGCUAAUGGUUUGGUAAUUUAAUCGGAAAUAAUGUUAUGUUUUGAUUGUUUAUAUUUCUCAAUUGUCGGAAUGUUACGAUGAAAUUUCAUGGACGGUUGAAUUGAAAGUUAUCGUUAGCUUUUUGGAUGUAAGCACACAAUAAAUUUCGUGAAUUGCAUUUAAUCCAGUAGCAUUUAAACCAUUUUUUCAUUCAUUUGCGUGUACUUUGUGAGAAGUCACUUUAGAAUAAUAAAAACGUUGGAGAUAAUGAACUUUGUUUUUAUAUUUAGAAAUAAAUCUCCUCUGUUUCAAUUGCGUACAUUUCGCAUAUUUUCUUCUGCAUCAUUAGGGAGUAGCAAGCAACAAUGAGUUUAUUCAUUGCUUGGAUAUGCUGUUAUUCACAUUUUCUAUUUAUAAUAUCUGGUUUUAAAAUAAGCUUUCGUUCAAAGCUAUCUGUCUCUAUCUAUCUAUAUCUGAAAGUAUAGAUACAAAAGAGUAAUAAAAUGAAGCACAUCUGUACAGCUGAGUUUUAAAAGCGAUUACCGAAAAUUCGCAUUGCUAUCGUAAAGAUGUGUGCAAGGGUAAUUUAUAAUUGCAAGGGUUAUAGGAAAAUAUUAGAUAAUUAAUUUUAAACAUUGCGUAUAGUGAGCCUAAUAUAAUUUUGCGACAAGAGUCACCAUCGUGGGUGCUCAAUGUGACCUGACUCUUAAAUGCACAUUGUUUCGCAUUGGGAUGACGUCGGGUCAGUGAGUGCAAAAUGUAGAUUAGUUGCACGUUUUUAUUUUCCACAAAAUGUUAUUAAAUAUUCGCAACCACUGCAUGCAAAUCGGUUUAUGGAUGUGUUAUUUUCAUUGCAAAUUAUUCAUGACUAUGAAGAAUAUUCAUUAGUAAUCUCGACCAUAAUUUCAGUAAUUUAAAUCCUGUUAUGUAGGUGAAUUCGGUUUCGUGAACUGCAGCACGAAAGCAAUGUUUUGAUGAUUCUCUGGAAUAAAUAGAAACGUUUCUGUGUUUAGCAAUUUCUAGUAGGCGGAGUUUCACAUAUUAAAAAACUUGAACAGUGCCAAUUGAACUAGGAUUCCAUGCAGCUAUGGCUUCGACAUUGUCACAACAACGCGAAGCGUCGUCAACACCAGAAUCACGGAACGCAAGAUAAGCAAGCAGAGGUUUUAGACCAUACCCAACGCUGGUUUCCAAGAAUCACUAUGGAAUCCAUUGAAAUAUUCAAACAUACGGAUAAUUUUAAUUGGAAGGAGCAUGUAAGUGCACUCAACCAGAACUUGAAGAGUGCACUGGGUACACGUCACCAACUCCAACAGAAGAAUGACUUAGAACAGAAUAUGUUUUUUUAUGCAUGUAAAAAACGCGGAACGCCGAAUGAUAUUUUCAACAGUAUAUUUAGGCCAAUGUAUGGAACGAUGUUCAGGCGAGUUUAUCGAUCUGUUUAAUUUGUAUUAAUCACCAAAAUAUUUUCAGAUAUUGACACGCAAUUGUAAAAAUGCCAGGGGCUGCGCCACAUUAAACGAUUUUGUAAUGGAGCAAAUUAAGACGAAAGUCGAACUUGUAACUAGUAAUGGUUUAAAAAAUUCUCUCGGAGAACCUUUCAAAUAUUGACCAAAUAAAAUCAUCGACAUCAAUUCUAAUAUCGACCAUCAAAAGCAUAACAUGAGGACCAAACAUUUCGUUUUCUUGAUGGAAACCAAAACAUAUAUUUUUGUGCUGAGUUUUCUCAAAAGAUGUUCGUAUUCAGGAGGUGCUCAGUAAAUGCCUAUAUAACCAGA